RNAcentral lists this long non-coding RNA (836 nucleotides) under Oryctolagus cuniculus (rabbit). RNAcentral describes it as "lncRNA (ENSOCUG00000032060.1)". The record is from RNAcentral. Lineage: Eukaryota; Metazoa; Chordata; Mammalia; Lagomorpha; Leporidae.
AUGCCCCUGGAGAAGAUCACCUGGCAGCUUGUUAGGCUGCUUCACGCUGUCUCAGGGCUGCCACGUACCGUCCAGCUCCACAAGGACGCACCUGGGCUCCAGCGCCCUGGGGUUCCCGGGUCUGAAGGUCGAUGGGCCUGUGUUCUAAAGCCAAGGACAAACACACAGAUGGCAGUGUCGACGUGGGCCACACAGGCAAGCACGGGCCUCAGCUCUGCUCCCGGAGAACGUCACCGAGACAAACCACGGCUUCGGGGCCACUGGAAAAGGGAUACCCUACCACACUCUGACGCCUGCAGACGUGUGACAGCUCCGUCAGAGGUCUUGGUGACAACAGGAAAGCCGGAGCCGUGGUUUCACGGGCAAUGCAUCUUCUCUGUUUCCAGUGGCGCCUCUUAGAACACGCGACCCUGCGUCCCACGGAACGCGCUUCAAUGGGAACGUCUAAGAGGAAGGCGGUGAGCACCCACGGGGCAAUGAACCAAGCCCGUGCCGUCUAUGGCUUAAAGCCAAACAAGAGCCAAGUGGCCAGGGCUUUAUUGAAGAUGCGGAGAGAAUACUGCCAACCUGCACACACGGGGACUCUAUGCUGAGACACCAAGCAGGACACGGAAAAUCUCCCCUCGUUUAAGCACGUGAAAAGACAUGGAGGGGGCAGGCAUUGCGGCGCACAGGGUUAAGCCACCACUUGGGGCCCCUAUCCAAUCCCAGUUCCUGCUAAUGCGCGAGGGAAAGCAACAGAAGAUGGCCCCAGGAUUUGGGUUUCUGCUAUGCACGUGGAAGACCCAGAUGGAGUUCCUAGCUCCUGGCUAUGUCCUGGCUCAGCCACGGCCGUU